Non-coding RNA from Rhypophila decipiens, 75 nucleotides. The record is from the annotation of a GenBank genome assembly. NCBI's taxonomy places the organism in Eukaryota, Fungi, Ascomycota, Sordariomycetes, Sordariales, Naviculisporaceae.
GUCCCCGUGGCUUAGUGGUAAAGCGCGUAGCUGUUCAGGCACUGCGAGAUGGUGGUUCGAAUCCGCUCGGGAACA